This 240-nucleotide ribosomal RNA is filed under the name uncultured Staphylococcus sp. Its description in RNAcentral is "partial 16S ribosomal RNA". It matches the Rfam family "Bacterial small subunit ribosomal RNA", at positions 99 to 334 of the family's 1533-position model. Lineage: Bacteria; Bacillati; Bacillota; Bacilli; Caryophanales; Staphylococcaceae. The record is from RNAcentral.
CGGACGGGUGAGUAACACGUGGAUAACCUACCUAUAAGACUGGGAUAACUUCGGGAAACCGGAGCUAAUACCGGAUAAUAUUUUGAACCGCAUGGUUCAAAAGUGAAAGACGGUCUUGCUGUCACUUAUAGAUGGAUCCGCGCUGCAUUAGCUAGUUGGUAAGGUAACGGCUUACCAAGGCAACGAUGCAUAGCCACCUGAGAGGGUGAUCGGCCACACUGGAACUGAGACACGGUCCAG